Molecule: ribosomal RNA, 497 nt
Filed under: uncultured Sphingobacteriales bacterium
Lineage: Bacteria; Pseudomonadati; Bacteroidota; Sphingobacteriia; Sphingobacteriales
Description: bacterial SSU rRNA
Rfam family: Bacterial small subunit ribosomal RNA
Source: RNAcentral
GCCAGCCCGCUCAGAAACUUAAAUGAAUUGACGGGGGCUCGCACAAGCGGUGGAGCAUGUGGUUUAAUUCGAUGAUACGCGAGGAACCUUACCUGGGCUCAAAUGUAUGUUGACGUAUUCUGAAAGGGAUACUUCUUCGGACAAUAUACGAGGUGCUGCAUGGUUGUCGUCAGCUCGUGCCGUGAGGUGUCGGGUUAAGUCCCAUAACGAGCGCAACCCCUACCUUUAGUUGCCAUCAGGUAAUGCUGGGGACUCUAAAGGAACUGCCUACGCAAGUAGUGAGGAAGGCGGGGAUGACGUCAAAUCAGCACGGCCCUUACGUCCAGGGCUACACACGUGCUACAAUGGCCGAUACAGAGGGCAGCUACCUGGUGACAGGAUGCAAAUCUCCAAAGUCGGUCUCAGUUCGGAUCGGAGUCUGCAACCCGACUCCGUGAAGUUGGAUUCGCUAGUAAUCGCGCAUCAGCCAUGGCGCGGUGAAUACGUUCCCGGGCCUU